Molecule: transfer RNA, 77 nt
Filed under: Verrucomicrobiota bacterium
Lineage: Bacteria; Pseudomonadati; Verrucomicrobiota
Description: tRNA-Asp
Rfam family: tRNA
About the family: Transfer RNA (tRNA) molecules are approximately 80 nucleotides in length. Their secondary structure includes four short double-helical elements and three loops (D, anti-codon, and T loops).
Source: RNAcentral
GGGGGCGUAGCUCAAUUGGUUAGAGCGCUGGCCUGUCACGCCAGAGGUCGCGAGUUCGAGUCUCGUCGCUCCCGCCA